RNAcentral lists this ribosomal RNA (508 nucleotides) under uncultured bacterium. Its description in RNAcentral is "partial 16S ribosomal RNA". It matches the Rfam family "Bacterial small subunit ribosomal RNA", at positions 28 to 523 of the family's 1533-position model. The record is from RNAcentral.
GUUGAACGCCGGCGGCAUGCCUAACACAUGCAAGUCGAACGGCAGCAUGAAUAUGGGUAACCAUAUUUGAUGGCGAGUGGCGGACGGGUGAGUAAUAUGUAGGAAUCUACCUAGAGGAGGGGGAUAACUUGGGGAAACCCAAGCUAAUACCACAUAAGCCCUACGGGGGAAAGCAGGGGACCGCAAGGCCUUGCGCCUUAUGAUGAGCCUACAUCGGAUUAGCUAGUUGGUGGGGUAAAGGCCUACCAAGGCGACGAUCCGUAGCUGGUCUGAGAGGAUGACCAGCCACACUGGGACUGAGACACGGCCCAGACUCCUACGGGAGGCAGCAGUGGGGAAUAUUGGACAAUGGGCGAAAGCCUGAUCCAGCAAUGCCGCGUGUGUGAAGAAGGCCUUAGGGUUGUAAAGCACUUUCAGUGGGGAGGAAGGGGUUGAUGCUAAUAUCAUCAGUCAUUGACGUUACCCACAGAAGAAGCACCGGCUAACUCUGUGCCAGCAGCCGCAGUAA